GCAGUAUUAAUACAUUAAGGCAAACGUUAAAUAUGUCUGUAAAAUAGUAAUAUACUUAUGUCACAAUUUCUUCAAGUUAAACCAGACUUUCAUUUUGAUGGGUUCCUGUGAAGACCUUUAAGUUUCUGUGUGUAUAUAUGACGGUAGUUUUUUCUCAAAAUAUCAUGCAUCAGAUCUUUUUUCCAGCAUCUCGGAAAUCAUAGGACCCUAAUAAUAUAUAUUGUUUAGUAUUUUACAUUUUUUGCUUUGUCCAUUUUAGUGGCAUGUGACUAUAGACAGAUGUAAUAUCUAAUGCAUUUUUUGUCUAAUGUAUAUUUUUUUGUUCUUCUGAAGGCCAAAGGAUGUUAUUGAAGGUUUGGUGACCUUUCACUCUCUGCUGCCCCCUCAGGCCAGCCGCAGAAUUGUUGCCCAAAUGUUUUUGAGAUUGCUAGGUAAGAUUAUGGCAGAGGAUUUACCAUUCUAUAAUGCCUGACAAAAUCAGUGAAAGAAAUUAAGAAAUUGAGAUUUUGCUAAAAAAAAAAAAAAUAAAAAAUAGGAGCACUGGGACUGUUCUCAGAGGGAUGAUUGACUUGUAGCCCACCUACCGAAAUCAAAUUUAUUUUCAACUGAAACAUACAAAGACUUAUACUGGUCAGGUAUACAGUAGGUGACAUGUUCCACCCCAUCCAUAUGCUGUCUUGUCUUGUGUUUACAGAGGAAAUAGUCGCAGGACAGGUCACAGUGCGACAGGACGAGCCGUAUGGUGACAUCAUCAUCUCACAGCUGUAGAUCGAUGAGGACUGAUGAGGACUUGCCAUUGUUUCAGGACAAAACUGGUUCAUCUCAACAACACAACUGUGCAAUAUAUAUUUAUCAGUUUGUUUACCACUAAUCAGUUUUGGCACAAAGUACAUUAGGCACUAGGUUUACCACAAAUACCAGCGUAGACAGAAAUGAAUAUGCUAAAAUACAUUUUUGUAAUUAUUUCACAUACCUUCAUUAUAUGGAUCUGGACAAUCAACUUUGUCAUAAAUAUCAAAAUCACAAUUCAGUUUAAUCCAAAUUUGUUCUCAUUCUAGAACAGUCACAUAAAAAUGAACAUUUUCCUUACUACAACUUUAGCUCUAACAGUGCAAAAGUCUAGAGACAUUUAUGCUAAACCCAGGGAAAUCUUUUUCUAAAAAUUAUCUUGGAAAAUAAACCAAAGCCCCUAAAAAGAAGAAGAAGAAGA
Long non-coding RNA from Cyprinus carpio (common carp), 1210 nucleotides. Lineage: Eukaryota; Metazoa; Chordata; Actinopteri; Cypriniformes; Cyprinidae. The record is from Ensembl.